This 423-nucleotide ribosomal RNA is filed under the name uncultured bacterium. RNAcentral's name for it is "partial 16S ribosomal RNA". It matches the Rfam family "Bacterial small subunit ribosomal RNA", at positions 354 to 796 of the family's 1533-position model. The record is from RNAcentral.
GUGGGGAAUAUUGCACAAUGGGGGAAACCCUGAUGCAGCGACGCCGCGUGAGUGAAGAAGUAUUUCGGUACGUAAAGCUCUAUCAGCAAGGAAGAAAAUGACGGUACUUGACUAAGAAGCCCCGGCUAACUACGUGCCAGCAGCCGCGGUAAUACGUAGGGGGCAAGCGUUAUCCGGAUUUACUGGGUGUAAAGGGAGCGUAGACGGUAUGGUAAGUCAGAUGUGAAAGCCCGGGGCUCAACCCCGGGACUGCAUUUGAAACUAUCAGACUAGAGUGCAGGAGAGGUAAGUGGAAUUCCUAGUGUAGCGGUGAAAUGCGUAGAUAUUAGGAGGAACACCAGUGGCGAAGGCGGCUUACUGGACUGUAACUGACGUUGAGGCUCGAAAGCGUGGGGAGCAAACAGGAUUAGAAACCCGUAGUCC